AGCAGCCGCGGUAAUUCCAGCUCCAAUAGCGUAUAUUAAAGUUGUUGCAGUUAAAAAGCUCGUAGUUGAAUUUCGGGAUUGGCGCAUCGGUCGUGCCUCACGGGGUAUGAACUGGUGCAGUCAAUUUCUCACCUUCUGGAGAACCGCGAUGUCCUUAAUUGGAUGCCGCGGGGAACCAGGACCUUUACUUUGAAAAAAUUGAGUGUUUAAAGCAGGCAUUUUUGCUUGAAUACAUUAGCAUGGAAUAAUAAAAUAGGACGGCAUGGUUCUAUUUUGUGGUUUCUAGGACCACCGUAAUGAUUAAUAGGGAUAGUUGGGGGCAUUAGUAUUCAAUUGUCAGAGGCGAAAUUUCUUGGAUUUUAUUGAAGACUAACUACUGACGAAAGCAUUUGCCAAGGAUGUUUUCAUUAAUCAAGAACGAAAGUUAGGGAUCGAAGACGAUCAGAUACCGUCGUAGUCUUAACCAUAAACUAUCGCCGACUAGGAAUCAGACGAUUAGUUAAAUUUUUUAAUGUACUUCGUUUGGCACCUUAAACC
This 537-nucleotide ribosomal RNA is filed under the name uncultured Glomus. Its description in RNAcentral is "SSU rRNA". It matches the Rfam family "Eukaryotic small subunit ribosomal RNA", at positions 569 to 1094 of the family's 1831-position model. Lineage: Eukaryota; Fungi; Glomeromycota; Glomeromycetes; Glomerales; Glomeraceae. The record is from RNAcentral.